This 414-nucleotide ribosomal RNA is filed under the name uncultured bacterium. RNAcentral's name for it is "bacterial SSU rRNA". It matches the Rfam family "Bacterial small subunit ribosomal RNA", at positions 355 to 786 of the family's 1533-position model. The record is from RNAcentral.
UGGGGAAUAUUGCACAAUGGGGGAAACCCUGAUGCAGCAACGCCGCGUGAAGGAAGACGGUUUUCGGAUUGUAAACUUCUGUUCUUAGUGAAGAAUAAUGACGGUAGCUAAGGAGCAAGCCACGGCUAACUACGUGCCAGCAGCCGCGGUAAUACGUAGGUGGCAAGCGUUGUCCGGAAUUACUGGGUGUAAAGGGAGCGCAGGCGGGAGACCAAGUCAGCUGUGAAAACUACGGGCUUAACCUGUAGACUGCAGUUGAAACUGGUUUCUUGAGUGAAGUAGAGGUUGGCGGAAUUCCGGGUGUAGCGGUGAAAUGCGUAGAUAUUCGGAGGAACACCGGUGGCGAAGGCGGCCAACUGGGCUUUAACUGACGCUGAGGCUUGAAAGUGUGGGGAGCAAACAGGAUUAGAUACC